This is a long non-coding RNA of Brassica oleracea var. oleracea, 256 nucleotides long. RefSeq lists it as uncharacterized. NCBI's taxonomy places the organism in Eukaryota, Viridiplantae, Streptophyta, Magnoliopsida, Brassicales, Brassicaceae. The transcript has 2 exons. The record is from RefSeq and is a predicted model, not a curated record.
UAAUGACAACGCGGUCUCCAGCAAGGACUAUGUAACUUCAGGAUAAGAAGCUUUAGAGUGGAGGAAUAGUUCUUGAUGCUACAGUUUUUGAUUGAUUAGGGGUAAUGCAAGAAGUGGCAUCAAACCUAAAGUCUUGUUGCGUCUAAACCUAAAGUCUUGUUGCGUCUUAUCACCUAAACACAGAAUUAGUAUUUUGAAUGCAGAAACAUUCCAAGUUUUAUUUUGCAAUCAAAAUAAUCAAAAAGAUAAUUUAUUU